RNAcentral lists this ribosomal RNA (253 nucleotides) under uncultured bacterium. Its description in RNAcentral is "partial 16S ribosomal RNA". It matches the Rfam family "Bacterial small subunit ribosomal RNA", at positions 524 to 776 of the family's 1533-position model. The record is from RNAcentral.
UACGUAGGGUGCAAGCGUUGUCCGGAAUUAUUGGGCGUAAAGAGCUCGUAGGCGGUCUGUCGCGUCGGCUGUGAAAACUCAGGGCUUAACCCUGAGCUUGCAGUGGGUACGGGCAGACUUGAGUGCGGUAGGGGAGACUGGAAUUCCUGGUGUAGCGGUGAAAUGCGCAGAUAUCAGGAGGAACACCGGUGGCGAAGGCGGGUCUCUGGGCCGUAACUGACGCUGAGGAGCGAAAGCAUGGGGAGCGAACAGG